This 289-nucleotide ribosomal RNA is filed under the name Blastocystis hominis. RNAcentral's name for it is "partial 18S ribosomal RNA". It matches the Rfam family "Eukaryotic small subunit ribosomal RNA", at positions 42 to 348 of the family's 1831-position model. The record is from RNAcentral. Lineage: Eukaryota; Bigyra; Opalinata; Blastocystidae.
GAUUAAGCCAUGCAUGUGUAAGUAUAACUAAUUGACUUUGAAACUGCGAAUGGCUCAUUAUAUCAGUUAUAGUUUAUUUGGUGAAGGAUACUAAUUGGAUAACCGUAGUAAUUCUAGGGCUAAUACAUGAGUAAAGUCCCAUUGGGAUGUGUUUAUUAGAAUGAAAACCAUAUGCUUCGGCAGGAUAGUGAGUAAUAGUAACCUAUCGUAUCGCAUGCUUAAAGUAGCGAUGAGUCUUUCAAGUUUCUGCCCUAUCAGCUUUACGAUGGUAGUGUAUUGGACUACCAUG